RNAcentral lists this ribosomal RNA (407 nucleotides) under uncultured bacterium. Its description in RNAcentral is "partial 16S ribosomal RNA". It matches the Rfam family "Bacterial small subunit ribosomal RNA", at positions 28 to 526 of the family's 1533-position model. The record is from RNAcentral.
GACGAACGCUGGCGGCGUGCCUAAUACAUGCAAGUAGAACGCAGUUUCGAACGGGUGAGUAACGCGUAGGUAACUGCCUGGUAGCGGGGGAUAACUAUUGGGAACGAUAGCGAAUACCGCAUACUAACAGAUGGACCUGCGUUGUAUUAGCUAGUUGGUGAGGUAACGGCUCACCAAGGCAACGAAACAUAGCCGACCUGAGAGGGUGAUCGGCCAAACUGGGACGGGGACACGGCCCAGACUCCUACGGGAGGCAGCAGUAGGGAAACUUCGGCAAUGGGGGGAACCCUGACCGAGCAAAGCCGCGUGAGUGAAGAAGGUUUUCGGAUCGUAAAGCUCUGUUGUUAAGGAAGCGGUACCGGAAUAGAAAGCCACGGCUAACUACGUGCCAGCAGCCGCGGUAAUAC